GGAAUUGGCUGGAUUUGAACAGGACGUUCUAUACGAGAAGGGAUUACGUUGGUUUUAUUCAGUUAUUUUGGGGAUGAUUGACGUAUUAUCAGUGUACCGUAUGUCAAGAAGCAUCCUAUGGUGAUACAGCAUUCGUUCUCCGCAAGAAUAUUUCUCUCCACAUAUCUGUUGUAAAAGAGUGAAAGACAAAUAAUAUUUUAAAGAACAUAUAAAGUUUUUUUUGAAAGCUGAAACAAGCAAUAUCGUUAAAAUGGAUAAAGUUCAAGAACUUUCUGAAGCACUGCCUUUACCAAGUCAGCCAUUCUUAAACGUCGAAGUAAAUGAAUGCAAAGAAAGAGGCGUGGAUUUCAACAUCAUCUCGUGAAAUAAAGUUACCUUAUUACAUGAGCCAACCGGUACUGGUGAAACAUCCUUAUGCAAGGCGCUUGCUCAAAAAUUAUCCAUACGACUUUCUAAAAGAUUUAACUAUGGCCAGCUUAUUGAAAUAAACAUUCACAGUUUAUUUUCCGAGAGUGGAAAGUUAAUGAUGAAAAUGUUUCAGAAAAUUCAAGAGUUUAUUGACGACAAAUAAGCUUUAGUUUGCGUUCUUAUCGACGAGGUUGAAAGUUUAACAUCGGCAAGAAAAUCUGCGUUGAACGGACAAGAACCUUCAGAUGCCAUUCGUGUUGUGAAUGCAUUU
Molecule: long non-coding RNA, 679 nt
Organism: Xenia sp. Carnegie-2017
Lineage: Eukaryota; Metazoa; Cnidaria; Anthozoa; Malacalcyonacea; Xeniidae
Exons: 8
Source: RefSeq, a predicted model, not a curated record